Anopheles merus is the source of this 1188-nucleotide long non-coding RNA. RefSeq lists it as uncharacterized. The record is from RefSeq and is a predicted model, not a curated record. Lineage: Eukaryota; Metazoa; Arthropoda; Insecta; Diptera; Culicidae. The transcript is spliced from 2 exons.
AAUUGGGCGCACGUCCUUCUCUAAUCGACAUGUUCGAUUCUCUUUGGUCACCUGCGAAAUGUAACUAGAAGCAACAGCAGAAUCAAUUUUUCGCAAAAACACUCGAAAAAACCGUUAAAAGUGAGAGCGAGAAAAAACACGUCACCUUGCGUUUAAUCGUAGUGAGGAUAUAACCUGAUGCAUAAGUGUGGUCUACAUAUAUAGCCUUUGGUUGGGUGAUGUUCACAUGUGUACUACGAUCGAAACAGCAACUUGACAGAUUACGCAUUUUCGGCUGGUAACCAUCUAGUUACCUCUGUGGUGUGUGGGUUUUGGAAAACGCAUCCAAGUGUUGUUACAUUUCCAGGUCCGAUUUUGGUUGAUUUCGUCGUACCGGUGUCCUGGCCUGGCGUGGCCUGUGCGAGUUCUGUGCAGAUCCUGUGUCGGGUCGUGUGUGCUUCUUCUAUUGGGGUUUUCUUUUGUACGGUCCGUGGAUAUGAAAAGCCAGCCCAACAGCCAGCAGCUGUAUCACACCCGCCACCGUGCGUCUCCAUGAGAAUGCGUCUAAGUGGUGGACGCUUUUAUCUCUGAAACAGGAUCAACAUCAAAGCAUCAACCGGCGGCAGAAUUUAAAAAAGAACUUAUUACCCAGCCUGGAUGGACGCAAGUCUUUAAAGUAUGAAUGCAAAAGUAUUGAAAACCUCGCCCGGAUUGGAACAUAGAGAACUAAAAAAAACAUGAAAUUGGUUUUUGAAUUUGAAUGAUUGUGAACAUUAACAUUUAAUCGCGUAGCGAAAACGUUUACUUUUUGUUGCAGGGAGAGUCUUCCAAACACGCGGAUGCGUGCCUUUGAUGGAAACGGUUUAUUUCGCGGAUUCUAAUUACACCUCGUAAAAUGGUACCCGUUUUUCGGUCGCGAUGUCGAGAUGCCGCCGAGAUGAAGCGUGCGAAUUUGUGAAUUGCGAUGGCGAGAAAGCACCCGAUCGCGCACGAAUCGCGCGGCUCAUUCGCCUCCUCGAACACGAACCAAUGUCCCAAUGUCGAACGUCAUCUAUCGGCGAGAUUUAGUACUAUUCAGAAUCGCUGAAUCUUUUACUGCCAACCGAAGCCGUACUUUGUAGUUUUUGUGGGAUCGUCGCAACCGCGCAAGGUGGAUGCAAUCCAAGAUCAGGUGAGGAAAGAUAUAGACGAAGACUAAGAAAUCAUUAA